RNAcentral lists this ribosomal RNA (330 nucleotides) under uncultured bacterium. RNAcentral's name for it is "bacterial SSU rRNA". It matches the Rfam family "Bacterial small subunit ribosomal RNA", at positions 568 to 898 of the family's 1533-position model. The record is from RNAcentral.
UCCGUAGGCGGUGCGGCAAGUCGGAAGUGAAAUCUCUGGGCUUAACUCAGAGGCUGCUUCCGAAACUGCCGUGCUCGAGUGUGAGAGAGGCGAGUGGAAUUACGGGUGUAGCGGUGAAAUGCGUAGAUAUCCGUAGGAACAUCCGAGGCGAAAGCGGCUCGCUGGAUCACAACUGACGCUGAGGGACGAAAGCUAGGGGAGCAAACAGGAUUAGAUACCCUGGUAGUCCUAGCCCUAAACCAUCAGGACUUGGGGUUUGCCCUGUACGGGGCAAGUCCCGGAGCUAACGCGUUAAGUCCUGCGCCUGGGGAGUACGGUCGCAGGGCUGAA